UACAGAGGGUGCAAGCGUUGCUCGGAAUCAUUGGGCGUAAAGGGUAGGUAGGUGGUCUCAUUUGUCUGGGGUGAAAGCCCAGGGCUUAACCCUGGAAGUGCCCCGGAAACGGUGAGACUGGAGUACUGGAGAGGGUCGUGGAAUUCCCGGUGUAGCGGUGAAAUGCGUAGAGAUCGGGAGGAACACCAGAGGCGAAGGCGGCGACCUGGACAGUUACUGACACUCAACUACGAAAGCGUGGGGAGCAAACAG
Molecule: ribosomal RNA, 252 nt
Filed under: uncultured bacterium
Lineage: Bacteria
Description: partial 16S ribosomal RNA
Rfam family: Bacterial small subunit ribosomal RNA
Source: RNAcentral